RNAcentral lists this ribosomal RNA (839 nucleotides) under uncultured archaeon. RNAcentral's name for it is "bacterial SSU rRNA". It matches the Rfam family "Archaeal small subunit ribosomal RNA", at positions 42 to 866 of the family's 1478-position model. The record is from RNAcentral.
GGAUAAACCAUGCGAGUUGAAUGGGAUACCUAAAUAUCCCAUAGCAAACUGCUCAGUAACACAUGAUCAACUUACCCUAUGGAGAAAAAUAACCUCGGGAAACUGAGGAUAAUGUUUCAUAGUUGAAUAGGCUUGGAAAAGUUUUUCAAUGAAAGGGAUAAGAAAAAUGGUUCUUAUUUGCCAUAGGAUAGGAUCGUGGUCGAUUAUGGUUGUUGGUGAGGUAACGGCUCACCAAGCCGAUAAUCGAUAGGGGCCGUGAGAGCGGGAGCCCCGAGAUGGGUACUGAGACAACGACCCAGGCCUUACGAGGCGCAGCAGGUGCGGAACCUCCGCAAUACACGAAAGUGUGACGGGGUUACCCAAAGUGUUCAUUAUUGAACUGUGGUAGGUGAGUAAUGUCCCCUACUAGAAAGGAGAGGGCAAGGCUGGUGCCAGCCGCCGCGGUAAAACCAGCUCUUCAAGUGGUCGGGAUGAUUAUUGGGCUUAAAGUGUCCGUAGCCGGUUUAGUAAGUUCCUGGUAAAAUCGGGUAGCUUAACUAUCCGUAUGCUAGGAAUACUGCUAUACUAGAGGGCGGGAGAGGUCUGAGGUACUAUAGGGGUAGGGGUGAAAUCCUAUAAUCCUUAUAGGACCACCAGUGGCGAAGGCGUCAGACUGGAACGCGCCUGACGGUGAGGGACGAAAGCCAGGGGAGCGAACCGGAUUAGAUACCCGGGUAGUCCUGGCCGUAAACGAUGCAUACUAGGUGAUGGCACGGCCAUGAGCCGUGUCAGUGCCGUAGGGAAACCGUUAAGUGUGCCGCCUGGGAAGUACGGUCGCAAGGCUAAAACUUAAAGGAAUU